GACGAACGCUGGCGGCGUGCCUAAUACAUGCAAGUAGAACGCACAGUUUAUACCGUAGCUUGCUACACCAUAGACUGUGAGUUGCGAACGGGUGAGUAACGCGUAGGUAACCUGCCUGGUAGCGGGGGAUAACUAUUGGAAACGAUAGCUAAUACCGCAUAAUAUUGAUUAUUGCAUGAUAAUUGAUUGAAAGAUGCUAUUGCAUCACUACCAGAUGGACCUGCGUUGUAUUAGCUAGUAGGUGAGGUAACGGCUCACCUAGGCGACGAUACAUAGCCGACCUGAGAGGGUGAUCGGCCACACUGGGACUGAGACACGGCCCAGACUCCUACGGGAGGCAGCAGUUGGGAAUCGUCGGCAAUGGACGAAAGUCUGACCGAGCAACGCCGCGUGAGUGAAGAAGGUUUUCGGAUCGGAAAGCUCUGUUGUAAGAGAAGAACGGGUGUGAGAGUGGAAAGUUCACACUGUGACGGUAUCUGACCAGAAAGGGACGGCUAACUACGUG
This 505-nucleotide ribosomal RNA is filed under the name uncultured bacterium. Its description in RNAcentral is "partial 16S ribosomal RNA". It matches the Rfam family "Bacterial small subunit ribosomal RNA", at positions 28 to 507 of the family's 1533-position model. The record is from RNAcentral.